GACGAACGCUGGCGGCGUGCUUAACACAUGCAAGUCGAGCGGUAAGGCCCUUUCGGGGGUACACGAGCGGCGAACGGGUGAGUAACACGUGGGUGACCUGCCCUCAGCUCUGGGAUAAGCCUGGGAAACCGGGUCUAAUACUGGAUAUGACUCCAUGACGCAUGUUGUGGGGUGGAAAGCCUUGUGCGGCUGAGGAUGGGCCCGCGGCCUAUCAGCUUGUUGGUGGGGUGAGGCCUACCAAGGCGACGACGGGUAGCCGGCCUGAGAGGGCGACCGGCCACACUGGGACUGAGACACGGCCCAGACUCCUACGGGAGGCAGCAGUGGGGAAUCUUGCGCAAAUGGGCGAAAGCCC
Molecule: ribosomal RNA, 355 nt
Filed under: uncultured bacterium
Lineage: Bacteria
Description: bacterial SSU rRNA
Rfam family: Bacterial small subunit ribosomal RNA
Source: RNAcentral